Molecule: non-coding RNA, 75 nt
Organism: Heligmosomoides polygyrus
Lineage: Eukaryota; Metazoa; Nematoda; Chromadorea; Rhabditida; Heligmosomidae
Source: Rfam
GCGCCGGUGGUGUAAUGGUGUAGAGCAUUCCCGCCCGGUUAGAGGGAGGUGCGGGUUCGAGUCCCGCCUGGCGCU